UGGGGAAUCUUAGACAAUGGGCGCAAGCCUGAUCUAGCCAUGCCGCGUGUGUGAUGAAGGCCCUAGGGUCGUAAAGCACUUUCGCUAGGGAAGAUAAUGACUGUACCUAGUAAAGAAACCCCGGCUAACUCCGUGCCAGCAGCCGCGGUAAUACGGAGGGGGUUAGCGUUGUUCGGAAUUACUGGGCGUAAAGCGCACGUAGGCGGAUCAGCAAGUUAGGGGUGAAAUCCCGGGGCUCAACCCCGGAACUGCCUCUAAAACUGUUGGUCUUGAGUUCGAGAGAGGUGAGUGGAAUUCCAAGUGUAGAGGUGAAAUUCGUAGAUAUUUGGAGGAACACCAGUGGCGAAGGCGACUCACUGGCUCGAUACUGACGCUGAGGUGCGAAAGUGUGGGGAGCAAACA
This 402-nucleotide ribosomal RNA is filed under the name uncultured Alphaproteobacteria bacterium. RNAcentral describes it as "bacterial SSU rRNA". It matches the Rfam family "Bacterial small subunit ribosomal RNA", at positions 355 to 774 of the family's 1533-position model. Lineage: Bacteria; Pseudomonadati; Pseudomonadota; Alphaproteobacteria. The record is from RNAcentral.